This 246-nucleotide long non-coding RNA is filed under the name Sorghum bicolor (sorghum). RNAcentral describes it as "long non-coding RNA (SBIC_LNC016345)". The record is from RNAcentral. Lineage: Eukaryota; Viridiplantae; Streptophyta; Magnoliopsida; Poales; Poaceae.
UUUUUGUGUAAGACUAUGUGAUUUAUUAUGUUCCGCUAUGUAAUAAACACUGCAAUGGUACAUUUGAGAUUUGUCUACUUAUAUGUGCGACUGUUUCUGGGGCACAUAUGAGUCUUUUAUGCAUCCUAUUUUGUUCUUAAAAUAUGGGUGUGACAGCCAGUUGCCUAUAGAUGGGAAGGGAUAUGGGUACUAUUAGAGAUGAAUUUUUCUAUUUUUCCUAAAAAGCCAUUAAUAAGCAUGGGAUAU